UGUCCAGACUCCUACGGGAGGCAGCAGUGGGGAAUAUUGGGCAAUGGGCGCAAGCCUGACCCAGCAACGCCGCGUGAAGGAAGAAGGCUUUCGGGUUGCAAACUUCUUUUAAGAGGGAAGAGUAGAAGACGGUACCUCUUGAAUAAGCCACGGCUAACUACGUGCCAGCAGCCGCGGUAAUACGUAGGUGGCAAGCGUUGUCCGGAUUUACUGGGUGUAAAGGGCGUGUAGCCGGGCCGGCAAGUCAGAUGUGAAAGCCCGGGGCUCAACCCCGGGACUGCAUUUGGAACUGUAAGGCUAGAGUGUCGGAGAGGCAGGCGGAAUUCCUAGUGUAGCGGUGAAAUGCGUAGAUAUUAGGAGGAACACCAGUGGCGAAGGCGGCCUGCUGGACGAUGACUGACGUUGAGGCUCGAAAGCGUGGGGAGCAAACAGGAUUAGAUACCCCUGUA
Molecule: ribosomal RNA, 449 nt
Filed under: uncultured bacterium
Lineage: Bacteria
Description: bacterial SSU rRNA
Rfam family: Bacterial small subunit ribosomal RNA
Source: RNAcentral